GCCUUCAUGGUGUAGUGGUCAGCACGCUCGACGCGUAACCGAGAGGUCCGUGGUUCAAUUCCCGGCGAAGGCG
This 73-nucleotide transfer RNA is filed under the name Stegodyphus mimosarum. It matches the Rfam family "tRNA". Rfam says of the family: Transfer RNA (tRNA) molecules are approximately 80 nucleotides in length. The record is from Rfam by way of RNAcentral. Lineage: Eukaryota; Metazoa; Arthropoda; Arachnida; Araneae; Eresidae.